Thamnophis elegans (Western terrestrial garter snake) is the source of this 220-nucleotide long non-coding RNA. RefSeq lists it as uncharacterized. The transcript has 2 exons. The record is from RefSeq and is a predicted model, not a curated record. Lineage: Eukaryota; Metazoa; Chordata; Lepidosauria; Squamata; Natricidae.
CGAGACCCCACCUGGGGCUGGAGAUGCUGGAUUCGGAUCUGGGGGCUCCUUGGUGCUCUGUGAACCUGGAUGUUUCAUUACCAAACUAGUAGCCGUGAAUGCUGGGGAAGGUUCCACCCUGGGAUUCCCGAGAUCUCCUCAUUUCCACCCACUCCACACAGAGGGGACGUUUGCCCAGAGUCUGUGACACGGACGGCCUGUCAGUUUAGUCCAUGAAAUG